Molecule: long non-coding RNA, 296 nt
Organism: Asterias rubens (European starfish)
Lineage: Eukaryota; Metazoa; Echinodermata; Asteroidea; Forcipulatida; Asteriidae
Exons: 3
Source: RefSeq, a predicted model, not a curated record
AUGAGUUUCUAUGCGACACUGGCAUUCAGUGUGUAUCGAACAAUGCGAGAUGUGAUGGUCUGCCCAACUGCGAUGACUAUUCUGAUGAGAUAGGGUGCAGUGAUGUGUGCCAACCCACGGAGUUUGCGUGUAAGCAAGGAUCUUUAUCAAGCGAGGAAGAUUAUAAGUCAUUGCAGUGUUUCUCUCCAGUCAUCUUCUGUGACAACAUCAUUCAAUGCUACGAUUUUGAGGACGAAAUAGGCUGUGUCCCGUCAUGUGGGAGUCACGUCAUUCAGCUACAACAAGAUCAAACCCAU